GCCCCGCCCCGCCCCGCCCCGCCCCGCCCCGCCCCGCCCGCCGCCCGCCCGCCCCGCCCCGCCCGCCCCGCCCCGCCCCGCCCCGCCCGCCGCCCGCCCGCCGCCCGCCCCGCCCCGCCCGCCGCCCGCCCGCCGCCCGCCCGCCCCGCCCCGCCCGCCCCGCCCCGCCCGCCGCCCGCCCCGCCCCGCCCGCCCCGCCCCGCCCGCCGCCCGCCCGCCCCGCCCCGCCCGCCGCCCGCCCCGCCCGCCGCCCGCCCCGCCCGCCGCCCGCCCCGCCCCGCCCGCCCCGCCCGCCCCGCCGCCCGCCCCCCGCCCCGCGUGAAGCGAAGGAAUGGGGGGAAGAAGAGAGAAAGGGGCGCCGGCUGCGCGCGUCGGGGGUUCGGCCGGGGCGGGGCGCGGGUGGUGGGUCGCCGCGUGUGCGGGAGAGCGUUCCAGGGGCCGGUCGUGCGGCGGCUGCGGGUGGCAGGGCCGGAGGGCCCUCUGCGAGGCUCCGCCCCCUCGAGGCGCCUGGUUGGAAACCCGUGGGGCUCCCUUGCCGUUGGCCCGCGGUCCUGUUCCCCGUCGCUCUUCGCCGGCGCCUCGUUGCCCUUGCCGCCAGGCCGUCCGUGUCGUGGCCUCCUCCGUUCGGCUACCAAACCCGGUGGCGCGCUCUGGUGUGUGGGCGCUUCCCAGGCCCGCUGCGGCCUCCUCUCCGUGUCCGCCGCCACCGUCCGGCCCGGCGGCGGUGUUGUGUGCAGACGGGGGGGAUCGUCCGUCCCCUUCCUCCGCCGUGCCCCCCCCCCCCCCCCCGCCCCGCCCGCCCCGCCGCCCGCCCCGCCGCCCGCCCCGCCGCCCGCCCCGCCGCCCGCCCCGCCGCCCGCCCGCCCCGCCCGCCCCGCCCCGCCCCGCCCGCCCCCCCGGUGGAGGGGUGCCCGGGUCUCGGCCCGGCCCCCGCCCCGCGUGAGCGUGUGCGCCGGCCUGCUGUGCCAGCCUCGGCGCGACCUGUCCGGGGCUCCGUCCCUCGCUCGCGCGCCGCCACCGGGUUGUUGGGGGUCGGCGCGCGUUGGAGGGGGGGACGUGUGCGUGUCCUCCCCCGCCUCUCCACGCCGUCGCCGGUGUUGGCCCGGUCCCGCGGGGGCGGGGUCGGUCAGUCCGUCACGCUCGCUCGCUGCGGGGUGGGACGGGGCCCGUCUUGAGUGGGCGCGGCGCGCGCGCCUGCUCCUCCGCCUUUUCCUCCCCGCGGGCUCCCGCGCCCCGGGGGGGAGGGGGGCCGCCGCCGCCCCGCCCGCCCCGCCCCGCCCCGCCGCCCGCCCCGCCCCGCCCCGCCCCGCCGCCCGCCCGCCCCGCCCGCCCCGCCCGCCCCGCCCGCCCCGCCCCGCCCCGCCGCCCGCCCCGCCCCCCCGGUGCGCGCUCUCUCUGGCUCACCGCGCUCCUACCUGGUUGAUCCUGCCAGUAGCAUAUGCUUGUCUCAAAGAUUAAGCCAUGCAUGUCUAAGUACGCACGGCUGGUACAGUGAAACUGCGAAUGGCUCAUUAAAUCAGUUAUGGUUCCUUUGGUCGCUCGCUCCUCUCCUACUUGGAUAACUGUGGUAAUUCUAGAGCUAAUACAUGCCGACGGGCGCUGACCCCCCUCGCGGGGGGGAUGCGUGCAUUUAUCAGAUCAAAACCAACCCGGUCAGCCUCCCCCCGGCCCCGGCCGGGGGGCGGGCGCCGGCGGCUUUGGUGACUCUAGAUAACCUCGGGCCGAUCGCACGCCCCCCGUGGCGGCGACGACCCAUUCGAACGUCUGCCCUAUCAACUUUCGAUGGUAGUCGCCGUGCCUACCAUGGUGACCACGGGUGACGGGGAAUCAGGGUUCGAUUCCGGAGAGGGAGCCUGAGAAACGGCUACCACAUCCAAGGAAGGCAGCAGGCGCGCAAAUUACCCACUCCCGACCCGGGGAGGUAGUGACGAAAAUAACAAUACAGGACUCUUUCGAGGCCCUGUAAUUGGAAUGAGUCCACUUUAAAUCCUUUAACGAGGAUCCAUUGGAGGGCAAGUCUGGUGCCAGCAGCCGCGGUAAUUCCAGCUCCAAUAGCGUAUAUUAAAGUUGCUGCAGUUAAAAAGCUCGUAGUUGGAUCUUGGGAGCGGGCGGGCGGUCCGCCGCGAGGCGAGCCACCGCCCGUCCCCGCCCCUUGCCUCUCGGCGCCCCCUCGAUGCUCUUAGCUGAGUGUCCCGCGGGGCCCGAAGCGUUUACUUUGAAAAAAUUAGAGUGUUCAAAGCAGGCCCGAGCCGCCUGGAUACCGCAGCUAGGAAUAAUGGAAUAGGACCGCGGUUCUAUUUUGUUGGUUUUCGGAACUGAGGCCAUGAUUAAGAGGGACGGCCGGGGGCAUUCGUAUUGCGCCGCUAGAGGUGAAAUUCUUGGACCGGCGCAAGACGGACCAGAGCGAAAGCAUUUGCCAAGAAUGUUUUCAUUAAUCAAGAACGAAAGUCGGAGGUUC
RNAcentral lists this long non-coding RNA (2458 nucleotides) under Felis catus (domestic cat). Its description in RNAcentral is "lncRNA (ENSFCAG00000048865.1)". The stretch from base 1413 to 2458 matches the Rfam family "Eukaryotic small subunit ribosomal RNA", at positions 1 to 999 of the family's 1831-position model. The record is from RNAcentral. Lineage: Eukaryota; Metazoa; Chordata; Mammalia; Carnivora; Felidae.